Molecule: transfer RNA, 76 nt
Filed under: Candidatus Nitrosacidicoccus urinae
Lineage: Bacteria; Pseudomonadati; Pseudomonadota; Gammaproteobacteria; Chromatiales; Chromatiaceae
Description: Candidatus Nitrosacidococcus sp. I8 tRNA-Thr
Rfam family: tRNA
About the family: Transfer RNA (tRNA) molecules are approximately 80 nucleotides in length. Their secondary structure includes four short double-helical elements and three loops (D, anti-codon, and T loops).
Source: RNAcentral
UGCCGGAGUAGCUCAGUUGGUAGAGCAGGGCAUUCGUAAUGCCAAGGUCGUAGGUUCAACUCCUAUCUCCGGCAUC